RNA transcript from Vigna radiata var. radiata (mung bean), 1669 nucleotides. It is a transcript of the gene named uroporphyrinogen decarboxylase 1, chloroplastic, with no coding region annotated. The transcript has 7 exons. NCBI's taxonomy places the organism in Eukaryota, Viridiplantae, Streptophyta, Magnoliopsida, Fabales, Fabaceae. The record is from RefSeq and is a predicted model, not a curated record.
AUUGUGAGUUGGCGCGUGGCUCUCACUCUGGUGUGUGUCCCUACCGGAGAAGAAGAAGAGAAGCUGAAAGAUAAGGAAGCCAAACUCAGCAAAGCAAUUAACAAAGGACUCGUCUUUCCCUCCUACCAAUGGCUACUUCCAUUAACAGCAGUGUUCUUGGGUGGAAAUAUUCCUCAUUUUUCUCACAAUCCAAUGCCUUCAACAUGGUUUCGCCUCCUUUCAAACCAAAACCCCCACUCUCCAAGUUUUCUCCCACUUGCUCUGCCGCCUCCUCUUCCUCUGAUCCACUAUUGGUUAAGGCUGCCAGGGGAGACCCUGUUGGUCGUCCUCCAGCAUGGAUGAUGCGACAGGCAGGAAGGUACAUGGCUGUUUACAGAAAGCUUGCUGAGAAAUAUCCAUCCUUCAGAGAGAGGUCAGAGACAACUGAUCUCAUUGUGGAAAUUUCUUUGCAGCCCUGGAAAGCUUUCAGGCCGGAUGGAGUCAUUAUCUUCUCGGACAUUCUUACACCACUUCCUGCAUUUGGAGUUGAUUUUGACAUAGAAGACAUAAGGGGACCUGUUAUACAUUCCCCCAUUCGUUCUGAAGAGGGAUUGAAAACUUUGCAUCCAAUUGACCUUGACAAACUUAGAUUUGUUGGAGAAUCACUUAAGAUACUGCGCCGAGAGGUUGGUGGUCAUGCAGCUGUUUUGGGUUUUGUGGGAGCUCCUUGGACAAUAGCAACAUACAUUGUGGAAGGGGGUACAACACGCACAUAUACAACCAUUAAGAGCAUGUGCCACACUGCUCCACAUGUAUUGAAGACUUUGCUUUCUCAUUUGACGCAGGCAAUAGCUGAUUAUGUUAUUUUCCAAGUGGAGUCUGGGGCUCACUGCAUACAAAUAUUUGACUCAUGGGGUGGACAACUACCACCUGAUAUGUGGGAACGCUGGUCAAAGCCUUAUAUUAAAGAGAUUGUACAUUUGGUCAAGAAAAAAUGCCCUGAGGUACCAAUUGUUCUUUAUAUAAAUGGAAAUGGUGGCCUUCUGGAGCGUAUGAAAGACACUGGAGUUGAUGUUAUAGGGCUAGACUGGACAGUGGAUAUGGCAGAUGGAAGAAGAAGAUUGGGUAGUGGGAUUGGUGUGCAGGGAAAUGUGGACCCUGCCUACUUAUUCUCCCCUCUUGCUGCCCUGACUGAGGAAAUUCAGAGGGUUGUGAGGUGUGCGGGGCCCAGACGGCACAUCCUUAAUCUAGGGCAUGGUGUUCUUGUUGGCACACCUGAAGAAGCUGUUGCACAUUUCUUUGAAGUAGCUAGGAGCUUGCAGUUUGAUGCACUUUUUCAAAACAAUGCUGCAAAAGACCCUAAUCUAGUAGCAUAAGCACAGUGCCUCAAGUGUUGCUAUUUGUUUUACAUUGUAUUGGAGUUAUUUCAAGAUCUUCUCCAAAUGAAGGGUGUAGGGAGAAUGGAUGAUGGCAUAGUGGAUGGUCACUGCAAAAUGCUAAUCUUUUAGUUGAUAUAUAAAGUGUUCCAAUCACAGGCUUGGAGUCUGUGGAAAGGUAGCAAGCAUAUGGCUGUAAGAGUUUCUCUCCUGGGAAAGCCCCAAAUGUUUGCUGAAAUAACUUUUCAGGACCUCCUGAUGCAAGUACCUUUGUUCCUUGAAUAAGUUUAGCAAUUGCAGCAUCAGCUGGUUUA